UGAUAGAAAUCGGCGUAAAAAGUGGUUAAUGAAAAUACUUACUAAGGUCAAACAUCUUCAAUACUGUUAUACGUACCCGAAGACAGGAAGAACUACCACGAAAGUGACCUUAACCCCCGUGAACCCACGAAAGCUAGGACA
This 141-nucleotide ribosomal RNA is filed under the name Amblygobius nocturnus (nocturn goby). Its description in RNAcentral is "partial 12S ribosomal RNA". Lineage: Eukaryota; Metazoa; Chordata; Actinopteri; Gobiiformes; Gobiidae. The record is from RNAcentral.